Molecule: transfer-messenger RNA, 380 nt
Filed under: Marinobacter sp.
Lineage: Bacteria; Pseudomonadati; Pseudomonadota; Gammaproteobacteria; Pseudomonadales; Marinobacteraceae
Also listed under: 1 other name
Rfam family: transfer-messenger RNA
About the family: Bacterial tmRNA, also known as 10Sa RNA or SsrA, is named for its dual tRNA and mRNA-like properties.
Source: RNAcentral
GGGGGCGACAUGGUAUCGACGCCGGUGACAACCCCUGCGGUGCAUGCCGAGAGCGUGAUGUAUCUCGUAAAUCCAACAUCACGAUAAAUAGUCGCAAACGACGAAAACUACGCUCAGGGCGCGCUGGCAGCUUAAUAGUUGUUAGCUUCUUGUCCGGCUCCAAAGCGAUGUGCCUGUUCAUGGCAGCGGAGAUACGAGCUAAAAAUGACAGGACCGCAGUCGGUGGCGCUUUCUCGCCGGCUGUUAAACUUACGAAGGCUCGCGUAGCUGGAUCCUGAUCGUCGGAGCCAGAGACGUUAAAGCAAAAGACGAAAUCUAAGCAUGUAGAGCCAAUGGGCGAGUGCUGGCGGACGCGGGUUCAAUUCCCGCCGCCUCCACCA